CUAAGAAUCUUGCGCAAUGGGCGAAAGCCUGACGCAGCAACUCCGCGUGGGGGACGAAGGCCCUCGGGUCGUAAACCCCUUUUGUGAGGGAAGAAGUUCUGACGGUACCUCACGAAUAAGACACGGCUAACUACGUGCCAGCAGCCGCGGUAAUACGUAGGUGUCGAGCGUUGUCCGGAUUUACUGGGUGUAAAGGGCGCGCAGGCGGGAUAAAAAGUCAGUGGUGAAAUCCUACAGCUUAACUGUAGAACUGCCUUUGAUACUUUUAUUCUUGAGUUCGGGAGAGAGACGGAAUUCCAGGUGUAGUGGUGAAAUACGUAGAUAUCUGGAAGAACACCAGUUGCGAAGGCGGUCUCUUGGUCCGACACUGACGCUGAGGCGCGAAAGCGUGGGGAGCAAACA
Molecule: ribosomal RNA, 402 nt
Filed under: uncultured bacterium
Lineage: Bacteria
Description: bacterial SSU rRNA
Rfam family: Bacterial small subunit ribosomal RNA
Source: RNAcentral